This 389-nucleotide long non-coding RNA is filed under the name Mytilus galloprovincialis (Mediterranean mussel). Lineage: Eukaryota; Metazoa; Mollusca; Bivalvia; Mytilida; Mytilidae. The record is from RNAcentral.
UGGUGCAAUGGGAAGCUGAAUAGCUAAGGUUUACUUGACACUAAAUCCAAGGUGUGCUUGGCUUAUUUUUAUGAGAUCAAGCCUUUUUUCGAAAGGAUUGUUAAUAUAUGUGUUUGUCUUUUGUUUUCUUCUUGUUUUUUUUUUGUAGUGGCAUUUUCGCUUCCUUUUAGACUUAUGAGUUUGAAUUUUCAUUUUGUAUCUUAUUCCUCUCUGUUUCGUUUCUGAUAAAUUGAUUUUUUUUUAUUGUUUUAUCCUUCAAGUUUGUUAACCGCCGUGCAUCGUUUAAAUCGUUUAAAUGACUUACCUCAAAUUUGGAACCUAUAAUCAUGUUGUCGACCAUAUAAGUAUCUGUAGAUAUUAACUGUUUAAUUUUAACUACUUUUUCAAGC